UCCCAACCCCUGUGACAUACCACUUGUUGCCUCGGCGGAUCAGCCCGCUCCCGGUAAAACGGGACGGCCCGCCAGAGGACCCCUAAACUCUGUUUCUAUAUGUAACUUCUGAGUAAAACCAUAAAUAAAUCAAAACUUUCAACAACGGAUCUCUUGGUUCUGGCAUCGAUGAAGAACGCAGC
This 182-nucleotide unclassified non-coding RNA is filed under the name Fusarium oxysporum. RNAcentral's name for it is "sequence contains 5.8S rRNA gene, ITS2". The stretch from base 134 to 182 matches the Rfam family "5.8S ribosomal RNA", at positions 1 to 49 of the family's 154-position model. The record is from RNAcentral. Lineage: Eukaryota; Fungi; Ascomycota; Sordariomycetes; Hypocreales; Nectriaceae.